GAUGAACGCUAGCUACAGGCUUAACACAUGCAAGUCGAGGGGCAGCAUUUUAGUUUGCUUGCAAACUGAAGAUGGCGACCGGCGCACGGGUGAGUAACACGUAUCCAACCUGCCGAUAACUCCGGAAUAGCCUUUCGAAAGAAAGAUUAAUACCGGAUAGCAUACGAAUAUCGCAUGAUAUUUUUAUUAAAGAAUUUCGGUUAUCGAUGGGGAUGCGUUCCAUUAGUUUGUUGGCGGGGUAACGGCCCACCAAGACUACGAUGGAUAGGGGUUCUGAGAGGAAGGUCCCCCACAUUGGAACUGAGACACGGUCCAAACUCCUACGGGAGGCAGCAGUGAGGAAUAUUGGUCAAUGGGCGAGAGCCUGAACCAGCCAAGUAGCGUGAAGGAUGAAGGCUCUAUGGGUCGUAAACUUCUUUUAUAUGGGAAUAAAGUUUUCCACGUGUGGAAUUUUGUAUGUACCAUAUGAAUAAGGAUCGGCUAACUCCGUGCCAGCAGCCGCGGUAAUACGGAGGAUCCGAGCGUUAUCCGGAUUUAUUGGGUUUAAAGGGAGCGUAGGUGGAUUGUUAAGUCAGUUGUGAAAGUUUGCGGCUCAACCGUAAAAUUGCAGUUGAAACUGGCAGUCUUGAGUACAGUAGAGGUGGGCGGAAUUCGUGGUGUAGCGGUGAAAUGCUUAGAUAUCACGAAGAACUCCGAUUGCGAAGGCAGCUCACUAGACUGUCACUGACACUGAUGCUCGAAAGUGUGGGUAUCAAACAGGAUUAGAUACCCUGGUAGUCCACACAGUAAACGAUGAAUACUCGCUGUUUGCGAUAUACAGUAAGCGGCCAAGCGAAAGCAUUAAGUAUUCCACCUGGGGAGUACGCCGGCAACGGUGAAACUCAAAGGAAUUGACGGGGGCCCGCACAAGCGGAGGAACAUGUGGUUUAAUUCGAUGAUACGCGAGGAACCUUACCCGGGCUUAAAUUGCAACAGAAUAUAUUGGAAACAGUAUAGCCGUAAGGCUGUUGUGAAGGUGCUGCAUGGUUGUCGUCAGCUCGUGCCGUGAGGUGUCGGCUUAAGUGCCAUAACGAGCGCAACCCUUAUCUUUAGUUACUAACAGGUCAUGCUGAGGACUCUAGAGAGACUGCCGUCGUAAGAUGUGAGGAAGGUGGGGAUGACGUCAAAUCAGCACGGCCCUUACGUCCGGGGCUACACACGUGUUACAAUGGGGGGUACAGAAGGCGGCUACCUGGUGACAGGAUGCUAAUCCCAAAAACCUCUCUCAGUUCGGAUCGAAGUCUGCAACCCGACUUCGUGAAGCUGGAUUCGCUAGUAAUCGCGCAUCAGCCAUGGCGCGGUGAAUACGUUCCCGGGCCU
RNAcentral lists this ribosomal RNA (1359 nucleotides) under uncultured bacterium. Its description in RNAcentral is "bacterial SSU rRNA". It matches the Rfam family "Bacterial small subunit ribosomal RNA", at positions 28 to 1381 of the family's 1533-position model. The record is from RNAcentral.